RNAcentral lists this ribosomal RNA (254 nucleotides) under uncultured bacterium. Its description in RNAcentral is "partial 16S ribosomal RNA". It matches the Rfam family "Bacterial small subunit ribosomal RNA", at positions 524 to 776 of the family's 1533-position model. The record is from RNAcentral.
UACGUAGGGUGCAAGCGUUUGUCCGGAAUUAUUGGGCGUAAAGAGCUCGUAGGCGGUUUGUCGCGUCUGCUGUGAAAACUGGGGGCUCAACCCCCAGCCUGCAGUGGGUACGGGCAGACUAGAGUGCGGUAGGGGAGAUUGGAAUUCCUGGUGUAGCGGUGGAAUGCGCAGAUAUCAGGAGGAACACCGAUGGCGAAGGCAGAUCUCUGGGCCGUAACUGACGCUGAGGAGCGAAAGCAUGGGGAGCGAACAGG